CUAACCAGGAUUCUCUUAGUAACGGCGAGUGAACAGAGAUUAGCCCAGCACUGAAGCCUAUAGCUUGCUAUAAGGCAAUGUGGUGUUUAGAGUUGCAAUUAAAUUCACUCUCAGAUCUUAAGUACGCAUGUGAAAGCGGCUUGCUCAGGAAGGUGGAAGUCCUGUUUACGAUCUGAGAUGUGUCUUUCUUUGCCUCUCUUGGAGUCGGAUUGUUUGAGAAUGCAAUCCAAAGUUGGUGGUAAACUCCAUCAAAGGCUAAAUACCUGUGUGAGUCCGAUAGUCGACAAGUACCGUGAGGGAAAGUUGAAAAGUACUCUAAAUAGAGAGUAAACAGUACGUGAAACCAUGAAGAGGUAAACGGAGAGAGUCAAGCUUUAUGGCUUGCAAGGUUAAACUCACAUAGAGAUGUUAAUAGUGUGUGGUGGUUAAUUAGUGCUAGUACUUUCGAGUGACCAAGUUGUUGGUCUCGAGUGUUAAAGCACCACACUAUUGUUUGUGAAUCCUUGCAUGCUAGCACCACAGUCUUUCCUAUCGAAGACAUUAUGUGUAAAGCUAUGCUUGUACUUCGGUGCAAGUGUGGUGUACAGUGGUUGCGUGUGAAAGCGCAGCUUAACAAUCUUCGGGUUGUCUACACAAAUUGUCAAUUCGUUUGGAUUGCUCUCAGUCUGCUGUAUUGGUUAAUCUUGUUUGUUGGCUCAGUUAAGAUUGCCUUCGGGAUCUUAGCAAAAGUGAAUAAAUUGGUUGAUUAGUGCUCAGAUUAAAUCUGUGGGUCGAAAG
RNAcentral lists this ribosomal RNA (777 nucleotides) under Udonella sp. RT. RNAcentral describes it as "partial 28S ribosomal RNA". It matches the Rfam family "Eukaryotic large subunit ribosomal RNA", at positions 65 to 636 of the family's 3401-position model. The record is from RNAcentral. Lineage: Eukaryota; Metazoa; Platyhelminthes; Monogenea; Gyrodactylidea; Udonellidae.